This 496-nucleotide ribosomal RNA is filed under the name uncultured bacterium. RNAcentral's name for it is "partial 16S ribosomal RNA". It matches the Rfam family "Bacterial small subunit ribosomal RNA", at positions 29 to 507 of the family's 1533-position model. The record is from RNAcentral.
AUGCACGCUGGCGGCGUGCCUCAUCCAUGCAAGUCGCGCGCACAGACGAGGAGCUUGCUCCUCUGACGUUAGCGGCGGACGGGUGAGUAACACGUGGGUAACCUACCUAUAAGACUGGGAUAACUUCGGGAAACCGGAGCUAAUACCGGAUAAUAUAUUGAACCGCAUGGUUCAAUAGUGAAAGACGGUUUUGCUGUCACUUAUAGAUGGAUCCGCGCCGCAUUAGCUAGUUGGUAAGGUAACGGCUUACCAAGUCAACGAUGCGUAGCCGACCUGAGAGGGUGAUCGGCCACACUGGAACUGAGACACGGUCCAGACUCCUACGGGAGGCAGCAGUAGGGAAUCUUCCGCAAUGGGCGAAAGCUUGACGGAGCAACGCCGCGUGAGUGAUGAAGGUCUUCGGAUCGUAAAACUCUGUUAUUAGGGAAGAACAAAUGUGUAAGUAACUAUGCACGUCUUGACGGUACCUAAUCAGAAAGCCACGGCUAACUACGUG